This 263-nucleotide unclassified non-coding RNA is filed under the name plant metagenome. Its description in RNAcentral is "partial contains small subunit ribosomal RNA, internal transcribed spacer 1, and 5.8S ribosomal RNA". The record is from RNAcentral.
UUUCCGUAGGUGGACCUGCGGAAGGAUCAUUAUUGUAUAACCGAGGUGCGAGGGCUGUCGCUGACCCGAAAGGUCGUGCACGCCCGAGUGCCCUCACACACAUCCAUUUCACCCCUAUGUGCACCACCGCGUGGGUCCCCCUUUGGCUUGUUCGGAGGGGGGCUUACGUUUUCACACAAACUUUGUAUGCAGUGUAGAAUGUAUUUUUUGUUUUUGCGAUCACGCAAUCAAUACAACUUUCAACAACGGAUCUCUUGGCUCUC